RNAcentral lists this small RNA (577 nucleotides) under Pan troglodytes (chimpanzee). RNAcentral's name for it is "processed transcript". The record is from RNAcentral. Lineage: Eukaryota; Metazoa; Chordata; Mammalia; Primates; Hominidae.
AUUUAUGUGCCCCUGUGCAUGGGUGUGGAUGUGAUUUCCUGGCGUGCAGGGUGGAAGAUGCAAUGCUGAUGUUUGAUAAAACUACCAACAGGCACAGAGGGUUUGGCUUUGUCACUUUUGAGAAUGAAGAUGUUGUGGAGAAAGUCUGUGAGAUUCAUUUCCAUGAAAUCAAUAAUAAAAUGGUAGAAUGUAAGAAAGCUCAGCCGAAAGAAGUCAUGUUCCCACCUGGGACAAGAGGCCGGGCCCGGGGACUGCCUUACACCAUGGACGCGUUCAUGCUUGGCAUGGGGAUGCUGGGAUAUCCCAACUUCGUGGCGACCUAUGGCCGUGGCUACCCCGGAUUUGCUCCAAGCUAUGGCUAUCAGUUCCCAGGCUUCCCAGCAGCGGCUUAUGGACCAGUGGCAGCAGCGGCGGUGGCGGCAGCAAGAGGAUCAGUCCUGAAUAGCUACAGUGCUCAACCGAAUUUUGGCGCGCCCGCUUCCCCGGCAGGCUCCAACCCGGCGCGGCCCGGAGGCUUCCCGGGGGCCAACAGCCCAGGACCUGUCGCCGAUCUCUACGGCCCUGCCAGCCAGGACUC